This 386-nucleotide transfer-messenger RNA is filed under the name Helicobacter pylori. It matches the Rfam family "transfer-messenger RNA". From Rfam's summary of the family: Bacterial tmRNA, also known as 10Sa RNA or SsrA, is named for its dual tRNA and mRNA-like properties. Its role is to liberate the mRNA from a stalled ribosome. To accomplish this part of the tmRNA is used as a reading frame that ends in a translation stop signal. RNAcentral also lists the same sequence under 1 other name. The record is from RNAcentral. Lineage: Bacteria; Pseudomonadati; Campylobacterota; Epsilonproteobacteria; Campylobacterales; Helicobacteraceae.
GGGGCUGACUUGGAUUUCGACAGAUUUCUUGUCGCACAGAUAGCAUGCCAAGUGCUGCUUGUAAAACAGCAACAAAAAUAACUGUAAACAACACAGAUUACGCUCCAGCUUACGCUAAAGCUGCGUGAGUUAAUCUCCUUUUGGAGCUGGACUGAUUGAAAUUUCUAGCGUUUUAAUCACUCCAUAACCUUAAGCUAGACGCUUUUAAAAGGUGGUUCGCCUUUUAAACUAAGAAACAAGAACUCUUGAAACUACCUCAAGGUUUUAGAAAGUUGGACCAGAGCUAGUUUUAAGGCUAAAAAAUUAACCAAUUUUCUAAGCAUUGUAGAAGUUUGUGUUUAGGACAAGAUUUUUGGACUGGGGUUCGAUUCCCCACAGCUCCACCA